GAGAUCACCUGCAGCAGUAGACACUUCCAGAAGUUUCUCCAAGUGGAUUGCAGACCUGUCCUGCUACCAAAACCAAGCUGUACAAGAGCUACACAGCAGACAACAGUUUCUAAAAUGCAGUCAAGGACUACCAGAAAGCAACACAACAGACACCCCCAGAACACAGGAAGCAGCCUGCCAGCUGCAGAAAGCCAGCGUGAGGAUCAAAAGAGCAACAUCCCAGAGAUGAGGCCUCUCACACCAACGGAUCAGGCAAGGAAGAGAAUAUAUCUGUUCUGGCACUGUGGGCACCAAGCAUCAGUGUUGAUUACAGAUG
This is a long non-coding RNA of Pogoniulus pusillus (Red-fronted tinkerbird), 316 nucleotides long. RefSeq lists it as uncharacterized. Lineage: Eukaryota; Metazoa; Chordata; Aves; Piciformes; Lybiidae. The transcript has 3 exons. The record is from RefSeq and is a predicted model, not a curated record.